AAGUCGUAACAAGGUUUCCGUAGGUGAACCUGCGGAAGGAUCAUUACUGAGUACUGGACUAUAAAUGGGUCCAUACUCCAACCCUUUGUGUACCUUCUUUGUUGCUUUGGCGGUAGUGGAUGGACUUUCUAUCUACAUGCCGCCAGAGGAUCUACAAAACUCUUGCUAUUAUUAGUGUUGUCUGAGUUGAAUACAAAUAUCAAAACUUUCAACAAUGGAUCUCUUGGUUCUG
Molecule: unclassified non-coding RNA, 232 nt
Filed under: fungal sp.
Lineage: Eukaryota; Fungi
Description: partial internal transcribed spacer region
Rfam family: Eukaryotic small subunit ribosomal RNA (bases 1-46)
Source: RNAcentral